This 465-nucleotide ribosomal RNA is filed under the name uncultured bacterium. RNAcentral describes it as "bacterial SSU rRNA". It matches the Rfam family "Bacterial small subunit ribosomal RNA", at positions 926 to 1391 of the family's 1533-position model. The record is from RNAcentral.
CAAGCGGUGGAGCAUGUGGUUUAAUUCGAUGCAACGCGAAGAACCUUACCUACUCUUGACAUCCACGGAAUUCGGCAGAGAUGCCUUAGUGCCUUCGGGAACCGUGAGACAGAUGCUGCAUGGCUGUCGUCAGCUCGUGUUGUGAAAUGUUGGGUUAAGUCCCGCAACGAGCGCAACCCUUAUCCUUUGUUGCCAGCGAUACGGUCGGGGACUCAAAGGAGACUGCCGGUGAUAAACCGGAGGAAGGUGGGGAUGACGUCAAGUCAUCAUGGCCCUUACGAGUAGGGCUACACACGUGCUACAAUGGCGCAUACAAAGAGAAGCGACCUCGCGAGAGCAAGCGGACCUCAGAAAGUGCGUCGUAGUCCGGAUCGGAGUCUGCAACUCGACUCCGUGAAGUCGGAAUCGCUAGUAAUCGUGGAUCAGAAUGCCACGGUGAAUACGUUCCCGGGCCUUGUACACACC